RNAcentral lists this ribosomal RNA (253 nucleotides) under uncultured bacterium. Its description in RNAcentral is "partial 16S ribosomal RNA". It matches the Rfam family "Bacterial small subunit ribosomal RNA", at positions 524 to 776 of the family's 1533-position model. The record is from RNAcentral.
UACGAAGGGGGCUAGCGUUGCUCGGAAUCACUGGGCGUAAAGGGUGCGUAGGCGGGUCUUUAAGUCAGGGGUGAAAUCCUGGAGCUCAACUCCAGAACUGCCUUUGAUACUGAAGAUCUUGAGUUCGGGAGAGGUGAGUGGAACUGCGAGUGUAGAGGUGAAAUUCGUAGAUAUUCGCAAGAACACCAGUGGCGAAGGCGGCUCACUGGACCGGAACUGACGCUGAGGCGCGAAAGCGUGGGGAGCAAACAGG